GGGUAAACCUGAGAAACCCGAAAGGUCGAAAGGGGAAAUUCAUUCGCGUUUCGGCUGUCGGAGUUGGAUGUUCGUGUGACGGAUGACGUUCACGUCGUUUGCACCUUACGUCUUUCGAAUCGACGUCGAACGCGUGCACUUUUCCUCUAGUAGGACGUCGCGAUCCGUUGGGUGUCUGUCUAAGACUCGGGGUGGAGUCCACGUGGCUUUUGGUCGCGUGAACCCUCGAUGUGCCGACAGACUCGCUCGACGGUAUGCUAAUGGCGCGGGGCCGCUACUCAGUUAGCGUUCGGCCCGUGGCAAGCACGUUCUGUGUUUGACGGCGAUCGGACCUGGUGCCGAUUCUGUCCCGGAACGACUGUUGGCUACGGUGUUCUCGAACAGACCUCGUUGAAACGCCGAUCA
RNAcentral lists this ribosomal RNA (405 nucleotides) under Allochroma sp. 327-'black and cream'. RNAcentral describes it as "partial 28S ribosomal RNA". The record is from RNAcentral. Lineage: Eukaryota; Metazoa; Arthropoda; Insecta; Coleoptera; Chrysomelidae.